This 1557-nucleotide ribosomal RNA is filed under the name Triticum aestivum (bread wheat). RNAcentral's name for it is "partial small subunit ribosomal RNA". Lineage: Eukaryota; Viridiplantae; Streptophyta; Magnoliopsida; Poales; Poaceae. The record is from RNAcentral.
AUGAUGAUGAGUGAAGGCCAGGGACAGCAGCAACAGCAGGAGAUCAUCACCCAGCAACAUCAGCAACAGCAACAGCCGCUGGAGAUGGACAUCACCUUCGGGAUGAGCAGCCAUCAACAUCACCAUGCCCCUCCCUCCUCGUCCUCCUCCUCCUCCAUGCACGCCGCCGCCGCGAGCUUCAUGAGCGGCAAGGAGGCAUCAGGCGCGUAUGACCAACUGGGGGAGCUGGACCAGGCCCUGUUCAUGUACCUCGACCACGGCCACGCCUCCACGCAGCAGGAGCAGCGCCAGACCCUCAACAUCUUCCCCUCCCAGCCGAUGCACGUGGAGCCAUCACCAAAGGGGGAGCUUGGCCUAGUCCUGUCGCCAGCGCCCGUGGGGUCGAAGAUGCCGUCGCCGGACCACCAUCACCACCAGCAGCAGCAGCAGGCGGCCGCGGCGGCCAUGGAGGAGUUGGCGGCGGGGAGCAGGAGGCAGCAGCAGGAGCACCACCUCCACCUGCAGCACCAGCAACAACAACCCGCCUUCGCCACCGCCGAGUCCGCAGGGGUCAGCAACAACAAGGAUGUCAAGCCGCUGACAAAGAAGGAGCACAAGAGGGGCUUAUCCACCGGCGAACGCGACCCAAAAACGCUGAGGAGGCUAGCCCAGAACAGGGAGGCGGCAAGGAAGAGCAGGCUGAGGAAGAAGGCCUAUAUCCAGCAGCUCGAGUCCAGCAGGAUCAGGCUGGCUCAGAUCGAGCAAGAACUCCACAGCGCAAGAGCUCAGGGAGUGCUCUACCCCGGCAGCAGCCUCCUCGCCGAGCAAGGCAUCGCCGGAAAAGGUCUCGGCGGCAUCGACGGCCUCAGCUCAGAGGCGGCGAUGUUCGACGUGGAGUACGCGCGGUGGCAGGAGGAGCACAACCGGCUGAUGUACGAGCUGCGGGCGGCGCUGCAGCAGCACCUGCCGGAGGGGGAGCUGCAGAUGUACGUGGAGAGCUGCCUGGCGCACCACGACGAGGUGCUGGCCAUCAAGGACGCCGUCAUCAAGGGCGACGUCUUCCACCUCAUCUCCGGCGUCUGGAGGAGCCCCGCCGAGCGCUGCUUCCUCUGGCUCGGCGGCUUCCGCCCCUCCGAGGUCAUCAAGAUGGUGCUUUCGCACGUGGACCCGCUGACGGAGCAGCAGAUCGUGGCGGUGUACGGGCUGCAGCAGUCGGCGGUGCAGACGGAGGAGGCGCUGAGCCAGGGCCUGGACACCCUCUACCAGGCGCUCUCCGACACCAUCGUCUCCGACGCGCUCACCUGCUGCUCCACCCCCAACGUCUCCAACUACAUGGGCCAGAUGGGCCUCGCCGUCCACAAGCUCACCACCCUCGAAGGCUUCGUCAGACAGGCGGAGAAGCUGAGGCAGCAGAUGCUCCACCGGCUGCACCAGGUGCUGACGGCGCGGCAGAUGGCGCGGUCGCUGCUAGCCGUCUCCGACUACUUCCACCGCCUCCGCGUGCUCAGCUCCUUCUGGGUCAACCGCAACAGGAUGGCGCCGCAGGACCAGCAGCUGGAGGCCGCCCCUCACACCUAA